Molecule: ribosomal RNA, 253 nt
Filed under: uncultured bacterium
Lineage: Bacteria
Description: partial 16S ribosomal RNA
Rfam family: Bacterial small subunit ribosomal RNA
Source: RNAcentral
UACGUAGGGGGCUAGCGUUGUCCGGAAUCAUUGGGCGUAAAGCGCGUGUAGGCGGUCCGGUAAGUCCGCUGUGAAAGUCGAGGGCUCAACCCUCGAAUGCCGGUGGAUACUGUCGGGCUAGAGUACGGAAGAGGCGUGUGGAAUUCCGGGUGUAGUGGUGAAAUGCGUAGAGAUCCGGAGGAACACCAGUGGCGAAGGCGACACGCUGGGCCGUACCUGACACUGAUACGCGACAGCAUGGGGAGCGAACGGG